This 253-nucleotide ribosomal RNA is filed under the name uncultured bacterium. RNAcentral's name for it is "partial 16S ribosomal RNA". It matches the Rfam family "Bacterial small subunit ribosomal RNA", at positions 524 to 776 of the family's 1533-position model. The record is from RNAcentral.
UACGAAGGGGGCUAGCGUUGCUCGGAAUCACUGGGCGUAAAGGGCGCGUAGGCGGCGUUUUAAGUCGGGGGUGAAAGCCUGUGGCUCAACCACAGAAUGGCCUUCGAUACUGGGACGCUUGAGUAUGGUAGAGGUUGGUGGAACUGCGAGUGUAGAGGUGAAAUUCGUAGAUAUUCGCAAGAACACCGGUGGCGAAGGCGGCCAACUGGACCAUUACUGACGCUGAGGCGCGGAAGCGUGGGGAGCAAACAGG